This is a small nucleolar RNA of Sorghum bicolor (sorghum), 107 nucleotides long. It matches the Rfam family "Plant small nucleolar RNA R71". From Rfam's summary of the family: R71 is a member of the C/D box family of snoRNAs containing the C (UGAUGA) and D (CUGA) box motifs. Multiple nearly identical copies of this snoRNA have been identified in Arabidopsis, and it is thought to function as a 2'-O-ribose methylation guide for 18S ribosomal RNA. Lineage: Eukaryota; Viridiplantae; Streptophyta; Magnoliopsida; Poales; Poaceae. The record is from Rfam.
AUUCCAUGAUGUGGACAUUCUUGGAUGUAGUCUUGGAAGCGCACCCAUGCUUCUAGAACGGAUUCAUCAUGUUGUUGCUGAAAACUUGUAAUCUUCCAACGGAGAGC